GCACGCAGGCGGUUCAGCAAGUUCCUGCUGACGGUCUCCGGCUUAACCGGGGAAGGCGUGGGGAAACUACUGGACUUGAGACAUCGAGAGGCAGACGGAAUUCCGUGUGAAGCAGUGAAAUGCGUAGAGAUGCGGAAGAACACCAGAGGCGAAGGCGGUCUGCUGGCGAUGCUCUGACGCUCAAGUGCGAAAGCUAGGGGAGCGAACAGGAUUAGAUACCCUGGUAGUCCUAGCCGUAAACGAUGACCACUAUCCGUGGGGGGUUCGACCCCUUCCGUGGAGUAGCUAACGCGAUAAGUGGUCCGCCUGGGGAGUACGACCGCAAGGUUAAAACUCAAAGGAAUUGACGAGGACCCGCACAAGCAGCGGAGCGUGUGGUUUAAUUCGAUGCAACGCGAAGAACCUUACCAGGGUUUGACAUGACGUUGAGCGCGCUGGAAACAGCGUUCCCUUCGGGGCAGCGUCACAGGUGCUGCAUGGCUGUCGUCAGCUCGUGCCGUGAGGUGUUAGGUUCAGUCCUUCAACGAGCGCAACCCCUAUUGCCGGUU
Molecule: ribosomal RNA, 548 nt
Filed under: uncultured bacterium
Lineage: Bacteria
Description: bacterial SSU rRNA
Rfam family: Bacterial small subunit ribosomal RNA
Source: RNAcentral